Molecule: ribosomal RNA, 300 nt
Filed under: uncultured Oceanospirillales bacterium
Lineage: Bacteria; Pseudomonadati; Pseudomonadota; Gammaproteobacteria; Oceanospirillales
Description: bacterial SSU rRNA
Rfam family: Bacterial small subunit ribosomal RNA
Source: RNAcentral
CGCGUAGGAAUCUACCUUUUGGCGGGGGAUAGCCCGAAGAAAUUCGGAUUAAUACCGCAUAAGCCCUACGGGGGAAACGAGGCCUCUAUUUAUAAGCUUCGACCAAAAGAUGAGCCUGCGUUAGAUUAGCUAGUUGGUGGGGUAAUGGCCCACCAAGGCGACGAUCUAUAGCUGGUCUGAGAGGAUGAUCAGCCACACUGGGACUGAGACACGGCCCAGACUCCUACGGGAGGCAGCAGUGGGGAAUAUUGGACAAUGGGCGCAAGCCUGAUCCAGCAAUACCGCGUGUGUGAAGAAGGG